This 253-nucleotide ribosomal RNA is filed under the name uncultured bacterium. RNAcentral's name for it is "partial 16S ribosomal RNA". It matches the Rfam family "Bacterial small subunit ribosomal RNA", at positions 524 to 776 of the family's 1533-position model. The record is from RNAcentral.
UACGUAGGGGGCAAGCGUUGUCCGGAUUUAUUGGGCGUAAAGAGCGUGUAGGCGGCCAUACAGGUCAGCUGUGAAAACUCGAGGCUCAACCUCGAGACGUCGGUUGAAACCGUAUGGCUAGAGUCCGGAAGAGGAGAGUGGAAUUCCCGGUGUAGCGGUGAAAUGCGCAGAUAUCGGGAAGAACACCCGUGGCGAAGGCGGCUCUCUGGGACGGUACUGACGCUGAGACGCGAAAGCGUGGGGAUCAAACAGG